GGGUUAGUAGGUUGGUCAUGCCUCUGGUAUGUACUGGUCUCACUGAUUCCUCCUUUCUGACGAACUAUAAUGCCAUUAAUUUGGUGUUAUGGGGAAUCAGGACUGUUACUUUGAAAAAAUUAGAGUGUUUAAAGCAAGCUUACGCUUGAAUACAUUAGCAUGGAAUAAUGAAAUAGGACAUCAUAUUCUAUUUUGUUGGUUUCUAGGAUCGAUGUA
RNAcentral lists this ribosomal RNA (216 nucleotides) under Campeiostachys nutans. RNAcentral's name for it is "Elymus nutans partial small subunit ribosomal RNA". The stretch from base 40 to 216 matches the Rfam family "Eukaryotic small subunit ribosomal RNA", at positions 686 to 864 of the family's 1831-position model. The record is from RNAcentral. Lineage: Eukaryota; Viridiplantae; Streptophyta; Magnoliopsida; Poales; Poaceae.